UGCUCCAUGGCUCAGCCGGUAAGAGGGAUGACUGGUAGGCAAGCGACCGGGGUUCGACCCCCGGUGGUGGUAA
Molecule: non-coding RNA, 73 nt
Organism: Caenorhabditis elegans
Lineage: Eukaryota; Metazoa; Nematoda; Chromadorea; Rhabditida; Rhabditidae
Source: the annotation of a RefSeq genome assembly